This 71-nucleotide transfer RNA is filed under the name Urocitellus parryii (Arctic ground squirrel). RNAcentral's name for it is "Spermophilus parryii (Arctic ground squirrel) tRNA". It matches the Rfam family "tRNA". Rfam says of the family: Transfer RNA (tRNA) molecules are approximately 80 nucleotides in length. Their secondary structure includes four short double-helical elements and three loops (D, anti-codon, and T loops). The record is from Rfam by way of RNAcentral. RNAcentral also lists the same sequence under 2 other names. Lineage: Eukaryota; Metazoa; Chordata; Mammalia; Rodentia; Sciuridae.
GGGAUUAUGGCUCAAUAGUAGAGCACUUACUUAGUAUGUGUGAGGGGCCCUGGGUUCGAUUCUCAGUACCA